This is a long non-coding RNA of Triticum aestivum (bread wheat), 818 nucleotides long. RefSeq lists it as uncharacterized. Lineage: Eukaryota; Viridiplantae; Streptophyta; Magnoliopsida; Poales; Poaceae. The record is from RefSeq and is a predicted model, not a curated record. The transcript is spliced from 4 exons.
AGACAAUUCUAGAGACAAGUUGCCAAACAGCAAAGCGCCCCUCCAUCCGUAGCCAGAGGCCUCUCAAUCAGACAUGCAAGGGGGGCAAUUCCCCGAAUCGUCGUAUAGCGUAGCGGAGAAGUUCGCAGACGAGACGGUGAAGCUGCAACGUAUACACAGGCAGAGGGCGCACAGUCGUGGAAACCUGGAGAUAUUGAUAGACCCUGAAGAAAUGCUUAGGUUUAUGAGAGCUAAUUUUAACAAUUACAUAAGUACGACAUACUCUUUGCUGCACAUGGCGGAUGAUCCCGGGAGAAUUGAUGGCCCAUACGAAUGCGACGACAAGAAAAAACCAAGUACAUCCACCAUGGGGGAUUAUUUUUCCAAUGCCUUCUCCAAGGCCAACCAGUCCAAGAAGGGGAGAGGCCGAAGAGGAGGUUGAACAUUCAUCAUCACGAUCCAGCUGCCGAGGGAACUGAAUGGUUGAUACUGAGGAAACUGCAUGUUUACUUUUCUUCAAAGUUGGUGACUCGUGCCUGGGUCCUAGACCAACAGAACAUCUGCAUGUUUUUAAUUUUCUUCAAAGUUGGUGACUCGUGCCUGGGUCCUAGACCAACAGAACAUCCGCAUGUUUUUUCUUUUCUUCAAAGUUGGUGACUCGUGCCUGGGUACUAGACCAACAGAACAUCUGCAUGUUUACUUUUCUUCAAAGUUGGUGACUCGUGCCUGGGUCCUAGACCAACAUAACAGUUUGUUUCUUAAUUCGCAUCCCACUGUAACCGUAACCUGUAACACCGAUGCCUCCAUGGAUCAGCUUGAUUAUCUUUCAUCCUGAUUCC